GUGGGACACGGAAUCCCUGUCACAGAGCCUCGUGGAGACAUGGCUCUUGGGAGACUCCCCUCCUCCAUCUCCUGGCAGAGGCUUUGGGGACUGAAGGGCAAGGGUUCAAGGUCCCGAAAGGGGACAGGGAAUGGUACCCAAGGCCCAUGUGUGUGCAUGUAGUGUCUGGUACAAAGACCGUGUCAUAUGAACAGGUGGGUACAACACAGAACCAUUCCUAUCCAUUUCUGACACUGUGACCUCAGUCAAGUCGAUAGCUUCUUGUGGCUUUGACCUGAUCAUAAAGUUUAGCACUCAUGAAGCGCUGGUCACACGGACCUCCUUGGCAUGUGGUUCUCUACGAAACUGGAGGGAAUAUCCCACUCUUUCCACAGCUAAACAACUGAGGCUCACAACAGGCACCCCAGCUCCCUUUAUCAGUUUCUCUGGUUCUCAGCUCAAGAUUUCUCCUCUGCGUCCAAGCCUCCCUACUAAAUAUAACUCCAGGACCUAGCAGACUUUACUUUUUGAUUUUGAAACAUGUAUCAUGUGGCUUGGGCUGGUCUUGAACUCAGUAUGUGGCGGAGGAUGACCUCGAACUUUUGACUGCCUCCACCUCCUGGGUGCUAUGGUUACAAAAGCAUGUGUUACCACGCCCGGCUUUAUUCAGUGCUGGGAAUGGAGCCACAUCUCAACCAUCAAGCGACCUUGGAUGGACACGGUCUUGGGCAGGGACUAUAAGGGACAAAAUUGGUAAGAGGAUCAUAUCUGCUUCCUCAAUGCCAGAACAGGUAUCUGAAGGCCUCGCAGCCCCUUAAAGCUCACAGGGCAUGACGCCACUCCUACCAGGCAUCAGCUGCUCUGGGUACACAACCCGCCUAGGCUCACACUGGAUCUCUCCGAAGAGCUUUCCCUGGCCACAGCAGCAUGGUGUGGACAGUGGGUGAGCAGCAGACAGGUCCUGCCCAUUUAUACACACCCUGGCAGCUGUGCCGUGAGCCUGGAGCACGCUCUCGCCUCUCUUGCCCAGCCUGGCCAUGGCUGCUUCACAAGACAGACCUAUCUGCGUUGAAGGCUGGGGAUUUCGAUGAUUGGGGAGUUUUAUGUCCCCUACCCAGUCCUGUCCCAACCCUCCCUCACAUCUUACACUGUGAGUCUGCCUCUCCCAGGAGGAGUCUCUCAUUAAGGUCUGGGGCUGGCCAAUGAGGCAGGGUUGCCUAGCUGUGCAGUGAGCUCCUGGGACCUGUCAGAACCGGAACCACAGACAGACAUGUGCCACUCAGAGUCAGAACCACAGACAUGUGCCACUCAGAGUCGGAACCACAGACAUGUGCCACUAUGCCUGGUUGUUUACACAGGCUCUGGAGAUCGACCUCGAGUCCUCGGUUUUUCGAGGCAAGCAUUUUAUAGAUUGAGCUCCCUCAGCCUCAACAGACACAGGAUUUUAAAACAGGGUGUCGUCAUCACAUUAACCCUUCGAGGGAGGUUUUGUCAUACUCCAUUUAAUACGCAACCAUUUUAAGGGUCAUGACUGAGAGACCUGUGGGAGGCUACAACCCAAGCUGGCUAGUGAUGGAUUUAAGCUACGUCUUCUAUGAAGAAGCAGCUGAGACAAUGCGUCCUUGAGGAGUCAGGUAGUCUCCUCUGGCCCUUCUACCUCCCUUCUCACCUUCGUCAUUGAUGUAGGCCUCCCAGUCAAAGGUAGAGUUGCCGGCCCAGCUCUCCUGGCUGUUCCAAGUGUCAUUGAUGUACCAAGUGUCAUUGCCGUACCAAGUGUCAUUGCUGUACCAAGUGUCAUUGCCAUA
RNAcentral lists this small RNA (1784 nucleotides) under Rattus norvegicus (Norway rat). RNAcentral's name for it is "uncharacterized LOC108352146". The record is from RNAcentral. Lineage: Eukaryota; Metazoa; Chordata; Mammalia; Rodentia; Muridae.